Molecule: ribosomal RNA, 479 nt
Filed under: uncultured Arcobacter sp.
Lineage: Bacteria; Pseudomonadati; Campylobacterota; Epsilonproteobacteria; Campylobacterales; Arcobacteraceae
Description: bacterial SSU rRNA
Rfam family: Bacterial small subunit ribosomal RNA
Source: RNAcentral
GACGGGGACCCGGCCACAAGCGGUGGAGCAUGUGGUUUAAUUCGACGAUACGCGAAGAACCUUACCUGGCCUUGACAUACUAAAAAGACUUUAAGAGAUUAGAGUGUGCUAGCUUGCUAGAAUUUAGAUACAGGUGCUGCACGGCUGUCGUCAGCUCGUGUCGUGAGAUGUUGGGUUAAGUCCCGCAACGAGCGCAACCCUCGUGUUUAGUUGCUAACAGUUCGGCUGAGAACUCUAAACAGACUGCCUACGCAAGUAGGAGGAAGGUGAGGACGACGUCAAGUCAUCAUGGCCCUUACGGCCAGGGCUACACACGUGCUACAAUGGGGUAGUACAAAGAGCAGCGAUACGGUGACGUGGAGCAAAUCUAGAAAAUAGCCUCCUCAGUUCGGAUUGUAGUCUGCAACUCGACUACAUGAAGUUGGAAUCGCUAGUAAUCGUAGAUCAGCAAUGCUACGGUGAAUACGUUCCCGGGUCUU